AUACGUAGGUGACAAGCGUUAUCCGGAUUUACUGGGCGUAAAGGGCGUGUAGGCGGUCUUGCAAGUCAGAAGUGAAAUUCCUGAGCUCAACUCGGGCGCUGCUUCUGAAACUGCAGGACUUGAGUGCUGGAGGGGAUAGCGGAAUUCCUAGUGGAGCGGUAAAAUGCGCAGAUAUUAGGAAGAACACCGGUGGCGAAGGCGACUAGCUGGACGGUAACUGACGCUGGGGCGCGAAAGCGUGGGGAGCAAACAGGAUUGGAUACCCUGGGAGUCCACGCCGUAAACGAUGAAUACUAGGUGUAGGGAGUAUCGACUCCCUCUGUGCCGCAGUUAACACAAUAAGUAUUCCGCCUGGGGAGUACGGCCGCAAGGUUGAAACUCAAAUGAAUUGACGGGG
RNAcentral lists this ribosomal RNA (397 nucleotides) under uncultured bacterium. RNAcentral describes it as "partial 16S ribosomal RNA". It matches the Rfam family "Bacterial small subunit ribosomal RNA", at positions 523 to 918 of the family's 1533-position model. The record is from RNAcentral.